AGUGAACGCUGGCGGUAGGCCUAGCACAUGCAAGUCGAACGGCAGCACAGUAAGAGCUUGCUCUUACGGGUGGCGAGUGGCGGACGGGUGAGGAAUACAUCGGAAUCUACUUUUUCGUGGGGGAUAACGUAGGGAAACUUACGCUAAUACCGCAUACGACCUACGGGUGAAAGCAGGGGAUCUUCGGACCUUGCGCGAUUGAAUGAGCCGAUGUCGGAUUAGCUAGUUGGCGGGGUAAAGGCCCACCAAGGCGACGAUCCGUAGCUGGUCUGAGAGGAUGAUCAGCCACACUGGAACUGAGACACGGUCCAGACUCCUACGGGAGGCAGCAGUGGGGAAUAUUGGACAAUGGGCGCAAGCCUGAUCCAGCCAUACCGCGUGGGUGAAGAAGGCCUUCGGGUUGUAAAGCCCUUUUGUUGGGAAAGAAAAGCAGCAGGUUAAUACCCCGCUGUUCUGACGGUACCCAAAGAAUAAGCACCGGCUAACUUC
RNAcentral lists this ribosomal RNA (489 nucleotides) under uncultured bacterium. Its description in RNAcentral is "partial 16S ribosomal RNA". It matches the Rfam family "Bacterial small subunit ribosomal RNA", at positions 29 to 504 of the family's 1533-position model. The record is from RNAcentral.